AAUAUAAGUUACAACUUAUCUAGAAAAUAAAUCCUCCUUUGCAACCCAAUACUUAUUGUUCAAUAUGAGUUUAGAUACAUGUAAGAAGGAAAAUU
Non-coding RNA from Ictidomys tridecemlineatus (thirteen-lined ground squirrel), 95 nucleotides. Lineage: Eukaryota; Metazoa; Chordata; Mammalia; Rodentia; Sciuridae. The record is from Rfam.